Molecule: ribosomal RNA, 374 nt
Filed under: uncultured organism
Description: partial 16S ribosomal RNA
Rfam family: Bacterial small subunit ribosomal RNA
Source: RNAcentral
GUAGGUGGCAAGCGUUGUCCGGAAUUAUUGGGCGUAAAGCGCGCGCAGGCGGUUCUUUAAGUCUGAUGUGAAAGCCCACGGCUCAACCGUGGAGGGUCAUUGGAGACUGGAGAACUUGAGUACAGAAGAGGAAAGCGGAAUUCCACGUGUAGCGGUGAAAUGCGUAGAGAUGUGGAGGAACACCAGUGGCGAAGGCGGCUUUCUGGUCUGUAACUGACGCUGAGGCGCGAAAGCGUGGGGAGCAAACAGGAUUAGAUACCCUGGUAGUCCACGCCGUAAACGAUGAGUGCUAAGUGUUAGGGGGGUUUUCCGCCCCCCUUAGUGCUGCAGCUAACGCAUUAAGCACUCCGCCUGGGAGUACGGCCGCAAGGCUG